This 747-nucleotide long non-coding RNA is filed under the name Olea europaea subsp. europaea. The record is from RNAcentral. Lineage: Eukaryota; Viridiplantae; Streptophyta; Magnoliopsida; Lamiales; Oleaceae.
CAGAAAUAAGACAAUAUGUCGGAAAACUAUAUUGAAGGCGUGGACGAAGAUAAACUUUUCCCAGCAAAAAACGACAUGAAAUGCCAAAUCCGAAGAAGAAAGAUGAGAAAGAAAAGAUAACUUCGGCAAUGGCCUGUGACAUUCUUUACAAGUGUUUCCUUGCUAUCACUAUUCGAUUCUUCAAACUUUUGAUACCGUUCAAAAUAGUUAUCCAAAAAAACAUGGCAUACAGCAAAAAAAACAGCUCAUACUUCUUAUAGAGUGACUUCUCACAAUCUUUACAAGUCUUCGGACAUCAGUUUCCUUUUUCUCUUUGGCUGCAAUGGCGUCUGGUUAUUGCAUGUUCUUCGAUUAUGCCCAAGCGCCCCACAUCCCCCACAUUUUGUUACUUGUCUUCUUUCUCUUCUUGAUGGUACUCUCUUUUCUUCAGACAUUUCGGAUUUUCUUUUUGGUAUAGGAGGCAACACAAUCCUUGAACCGAUAUCAUCUGGUACAAUCCAAUCAUCACGGUUCCCAAGUGGAAAAAUGGUCCCCUUGUAUGCUUCAAUGUAAGACUCCUUUGUGUAGUAUUUGGAGCAAUAGUCGUAGGAGUUGAGGUUUCUUUCUGUAAUAACUGCCAGUGCAUGUACGCAUGGGAUCUCAUCCAUCUGAAAUCUGUUGCACGAGCAAGUCCGUUCUUGAAUGUUCACUAAAUGGGAGGUUGUGGCAUCACUAACAUCGUAAAUCGCUUCACUUGAUGCAGAAACC